CCGACCUUAGCUCCGUUGGUAAAGCGGAGGACUCUGCAUCCUUAGGUCACUGGUUCGAUUCCUGUAGGUCGGA
Nicotiana tabacum (common tobacco) is the source of this 73-nucleotide non-coding RNA. Lineage: Eukaryota; Viridiplantae; Streptophyta; Magnoliopsida; Solanales; Solanaceae. The record is from the annotation of a RefSeq genome assembly.